AACGAACGCUGGCGGCAUGCCUAACACAUGCAAGUCGAACGAAGGCUUCGGCCUUAGUGGCGCACGGGUGCGUAACGCGUGGGAACCUGCCCCUCGGUUCGGAAUAACAGUUAGAAAUGACUGCUAAUACCGGAUGAUGACUUCGGUCCAAAGAUUUAUCGCCGAGGGAUGGGCCCGCGUAGGAUUAGCUAGUUGGUGGGGUAAAGGCCUACCAAGGCGACGAUCCUUAGCUGGUCUGAGAGGAUGAUCAGCCACACUGGGACUGAGACACGGCCCAGACUCCUACGGGAGGCAGCAGUGGGGAAUAUUGGACAAUGGGGGCAACCCUGAUCCAGCCAUGCCGCGUGUGUGAAGAAGGCCUCGGGUUGUAAGUACGACUUAAGUACGAGGAGGAAGGUUUU
Molecule: ribosomal RNA, 401 nt
Filed under: uncultured bacterium
Lineage: Bacteria
Description: bacterial SSU rRNA
Rfam family: Bacterial small subunit ribosomal RNA
Source: RNAcentral